CCUACGGGAGGCAGCAGUGAGGAAUAUUGGUCAAUGGACGAGAGUCUGAACCAGCCAAGUAGCGUGAAGGAUGACUGCCCUAUGGGUUGUAAACUUCUUUUAUAUGGGAAUAAAAUGUUCCACGUGUGGGAGUUUGUAUGUACCAUAUGAAUAAGGCUCGGCUAACUCCGUGCCAGCAGCCGCGGGAAUACGGAGGAUCCGAGCGUUAACCGGAUUUAUUGGGUUUAAAGGGAGCGUAGGUGGGUUGUUAAGUCAGUUGUGAAAGUUUGCGGCUCAACCGUAAAAUUGCAGUUGAAACUGGCAGUCUUGAGUACAGUAGAGGUGUGCGGAAUUCGUGGUGUAGCGGUGAAAUGCUUAGAUAUCACGAAGAACUCCGAUUGCGAAGGCAGCUCACUGGACUGCAACUGACACUGAGGCUCGAAAGUGUGGGUAUCAAACAGGAUUAGAUACCCCUGUAGUC
Molecule: ribosomal RNA, 460 nt
Filed under: uncultured bacterium
Lineage: Bacteria
Description: partial 16S ribosomal RNA
Rfam family: Bacterial small subunit ribosomal RNA
Source: RNAcentral